UGAGGUGUAGCUCAGAGGUAGGGUACUUGCCUAACAUGCAAGGCCCUGGGUUUGAUUCCCAGCACUGCAA
This 70-nucleotide transfer RNA is filed under the name Heterocephalus glaber (naked mole-rat). It matches the Rfam family "tRNA". Rfam says of the family: Transfer RNA (tRNA) molecules are approximately 80 nucleotides in length. Their secondary structure includes four short double-helical elements and three loops (D, anti-codon, and T loops). Further hydrogen bonds mediate the characteristic L-shaped molecular structure. tRNAs have two regions of fundamental functional importance: the anti-codon, which is responsible for specific mRNA codon recognition, and the 3' end, to which the tRNAs corresponding amino acid is attached (by aminoacyl-tRNA synthetases). tRNAs cope with the degeneracy of the genetic code in two manners: having more than one tRNA (with a specific anti-codon) for a particular amino acid; and 'wobble' base-pairing, i.e. permitting non-standard base-pairing at the 3rd anti-codon position. The record is from Rfam by way of RNAcentral. Lineage: Eukaryota; Metazoa; Chordata; Mammalia; Rodentia; Bathyergidae.